This is a non-coding RNA of Cyanistes caeruleus (blue tit), 760 nucleotides long. Lineage: Eukaryota; Metazoa; Chordata; Aves; Passeriformes; Paridae. The record is from RefSeq and is a predicted model, not a curated record.
AGGAAGAUGGAAAGGGAAUGACCACCUUCUCCCCUUCUCAGAGCCUUUAAGCUUCAUGAUGCUCCUGCCAUGACUCCAGUGGAGCCAUGGGCUUUCCAUAGCACCCAACAGAGCACGAGCUCAUCGGUCACUGGGUCAAGUGUGGGGCCACAACCCUUCAGCCACUGCAGUGACAGACAUGGAGGAAGCAGGCCAGCCUGGGACUGCUUGUACUCUGCCAGUCCUUUUCCCACAUCCAUGGCCUGGGAGGCAGCAAUGCCCAUGGGGCACCAGGCUACAAGACCCCAGGCCACCACUGCAACACAGAAGACAACUCCACUGCCUGAAUCCCGAUCUGUGCCCCUGCAUGGAGGGGAUUCUGCUGCACUUCCUCUCCCAUGCAGACCCCAUCCCUGCUUGCACUCCAUCCUGUCAGGCAGCAGCCUUUUCUUGGGCAGCAGGCUGAAUGAUGAAGGUCAGAUGCACGUCCACCAAGGCUUGGGCAUCCCCAGAGCAGGACAGAAGGGCAAAGGGGAAGAGGUGCAGGGUUGGGAUGGAGAUAAGCAGGUUAGACAGGGACGGAGGGAUGGGAGAGGAAGGAGGGUGCCUGCCCUGGCUGCCUCCCCCCGCCCUCCCUUCUUUGCACACAAGGCCUCCCCGCUCUCAUGUGCACUCUCCAGCUUCUGGCAGCCUUUCCGAUGCGCGUUUCCACUCCUCUCUGGCCCAUUAGCAGUAUUUUUAUAACAUUCUGUAACGCACAGAGCCGUGUGCCAAACCUCAA